GAUGAACGCUGGCGGCGUGCUUAACACAUGCAAGUCGAACGGAAAGGCCCAAGCUUGCUUGGGUACUCGAGUGGCGAACGGGUGAGUAACACGUGGGUGAUCUGCCCUGCACUUCGGGAUAAGCCUGGGAAACUGGGUCUAAUACCGGAUAGGACGAUGGCUUGGAUGCCAUUGUGGAAAGCUUUUUCGGUGUGGGAUGAGCUCGCGGCCUAUCAGCUUGUUGGUGGGGUAAUGGCCUACCAAGGCGUCGACGGGUAGCCGGCCUGAGAGGGUGUACGGCCACAUUGGGACUGAGAUACGGCCCAGACUCCUACGGGAGGCAGCAGUGGGGAAUAUUGCACAAUGGGCGCAAGCCUGAUGCAGCGACGCCGCGUGGGGGAUGACGGCCUUCGGGUUGUAAACUCCUUUCGCUAGGGACGAAGCGUUUUUGUGACGGUACCUGGAGAAGAAGCACCGGCUAACUACGUG
RNAcentral lists this ribosomal RNA (468 nucleotides) under uncultured bacterium. Its description in RNAcentral is "partial 16S ribosomal RNA". It matches the Rfam family "Bacterial small subunit ribosomal RNA", at positions 28 to 507 of the family's 1533-position model. The record is from RNAcentral.